RNAcentral lists this long non-coding RNA (640 nucleotides) under Panax ginseng (ginseng). Its description in RNAcentral is "long non-coding RNA (PGIN_LNC019199)". The record is from RNAcentral. Lineage: Eukaryota; Viridiplantae; Streptophyta; Magnoliopsida; Apiales; Araliaceae.
CAAGUUAUCUAUACUGAAUUAUUAAUCAAGAACACGAAUGUAGUAUUAACCACCUCUCGAUGCACUAAUACCGUAUUAACGUCAAUCCACAAUCAAGAUAGAAAUCCGUUAAACACCUUAAUCAACUAAUCCACUAUAUCUCUAUAUGAAUUACAAUUGAAGAAGGUUUAAGAAUAAGUUCUCUAUCCGUUUACAUGCGAUGUCAAGCAUAUCUCUACCUUAACAUUCAUCAAGAUUAAGCUAUUCACAAAAUCAUGAACACAUGCUAUUAUAAUCAGAUCUAAAUCUAUACUUCAUCUCUCGAGUUCAUAUAGAUUAUCACGAUAAUUAUUAGCUAGGCAAUUAAGCAAUUAAGUCCAAAUCAUAAUAGACAAUCUAAAUAUAGCUAAUAAGACUAACAAAGAAGCAUAUCAAAGUAAACUACAAAAUAAGAUCUAUAGUAACCUCAAACAAAGAAUUAGUUCAUGAUUAUUGAAUUAAAACUAAGAAUCCACAAUUGAAUACACAUUAAAAGACAAGGAUAGAAGAAGUUGAGAAGAUAUAAUCUAUUGUCUGUAGAUUUGAUGCUCCCUCCUUGCUCCUACUUUGAAUCUUCAAUGGUCUCCAAGUUGCUUCAAUCUCCAAAUUUAAUAAGAACUAG